This 303-nucleotide ribosomal RNA is filed under the name uncultured bacterium. Its description in RNAcentral is "bacterial SSU rRNA". It matches the Rfam family "Bacterial small subunit ribosomal RNA", at positions 355 to 675 of the family's 1533-position model. The record is from RNAcentral.
UGGGGAAUAUUGCACAAUGGAGGAAACUCUGAUGCAGCGAUGCCGCGUGAGGGAAGAAGGUUUUCGGAUUGUAAACCUCUGUCUUAAGGGACGAUAAUGACGGUACCUUAGGAGGAAGCUCCGGCUAACUACGUGCCAGCAGCCGCGGUAAUACGUAGGGAGCGAGCGUUGUCCGGAAUUACUGGGUGUAAAGGGAGUGUAGGCGGGAUGGUAAGUUAGGUGUGAAAUGCGGAGGCUCAACCUCCGAGCUGCACUUAAAACUGCUGUUCUUGAGUGAAGUAGAGGUUGGCGGAAUUCCCAGUG